RNAcentral lists this transfer RNA (86 nucleotides) under Escherichia coli. RNAcentral's name for it is "tRNA-OTHER". It matches the Rfam family "tRNA". From Rfam's summary of the family: Transfer RNA (tRNA) molecules are approximately 80 nucleotides in length. Their secondary structure includes four short double-helical elements and three loops (D, anti-codon, and T loops). The record is from RNAcentral. Lineage: Bacteria; Pseudomonadati; Pseudomonadota; Gammaproteobacteria; Enterobacterales; Enterobacteriaceae.
GGUGAGGUGUCCGAGUGGCUGAAGGAGCACGCCUGAAAGUGUGUAUACGGCAACGUAUCGGGGUUCGAAUCCCCCCCUCACCGCCA